This 21-nucleotide unclassified non-coding RNA is filed under the name Mus musculus (house mouse). RNAcentral's name for it is "oocyte_clustered_small_RNA6882". The record is from RNAcentral. Lineage: Eukaryota; Metazoa; Chordata; Mammalia; Rodentia; Muridae.
AGGAAGCAAGACUGAUGCAGA